UUUUUUUUUUCCAUUUUUGCCCUUCAAAGGUCCAGCCUUUGAACUACUAAACUAGAUUUCUCACAGCAUACCAUUUUGGAAUGUACAGCAUGUCUGGAAUGAACUUGUCUUGACCUAAAUCAAUCAAGUUGACUAUAACAAAACCUGACAUUUUUAAAUGAUCGUACCAUGUGCAGUGAAAUAGAAGCAACAACAAAAAUAUUUCAAAAAUAUUUCAUUAUUUUCUUUCUAAUUUAAUGCUUUAAUUAUUUUUACUUUCAUUAAAUCUUAUUACACCCUAUGUUGCUUAGUUCAGUCUUUUUUUUAGCACCAAUUAUGAGUUUGAUAAAUGUUUGAUUUUUUUUUAAUAUUGUCUACAAUUAAUGCUUGAAAUAUACCAAAUAAAUCAAUCAAUCAAUCAUGGAGAAGAAAUGAAUUACCGUAUUGCGUUUGUGAUCAGCCAGAACUGAAUGACACCAAGUCUUUUGUAUUUCCGAAUAGAGCUGUGAAAGAAAAGCUUGAAGCAAGAUUCAGAAGACUUCCACCACGUCGACAUUUCGCAUCAAGCCUCUUCCAACUACAACCAAGGUGCCCAUUUAAAAAAGCAUGAAGGAGACAGACAGCCCAGAUCAGCGGCGUUGGCUCAGCUGCUUCCCCUGGCGGCCACAAGUCUCGCACCUGCAAUACCUCAUGUGAGCUCUGAUAAGAGAUGACCAACCAAAUGUUAGCCACAUGCUGGCGGAGAUCACACACACAGGACUCUGCUCUAAUAUUUCACAGGUAGGAAGAAAAGAAUGCAUGAAUCAUUCUGACACAGCCAGAAUGGAGAGAGACAUCCCUCCGUUAUCUCCACAAACACUCGCACUGUCAGAGAUUUAUGGAACAAGGCUUUAAUGGUGCCCUCACACGCUUCUUUCUCUUACCCAUACCCCUCUUCUCUGUCGCACAAACACACACGCAUCAAUCACUCCCUUCCUUCUUCUUUUGUUUUCUUCCGCUCCUCCAUCUUCUCUCUAUCUGCUGUCCAUCUCACAUUAUUCUCUGCAGCUUUUCUCCAUUUCUCUAACCAUUUUUCCCCCUUCCUGACUGUCCUCCUUCUCUUCCUAUCUCAUAAUCCCCCCUCUUUUAACUGGCUUUAAUUGAAAGUACAGUGAAAAUAAAGAUGUCAAAGUCUAGCUGGGCUCCAAGGGGUAAACGCUUCCAAUGUACCCUGAGGGGGAAAAUGAGUGUUGGGGCUGUCACAUAAAGAGGAAGAAAAGCACCGCCAUAUGUAUGCUUGUUUGAAUAACUGAACCUCCAAAUGUAUGGCACCCUGACAGCCAUACAUGAUUCCUUAAUGGGGGUAUUUAAACCUUAUACAGAGGCCGUUUAACUGUGUGAUUUAUGGGGAGGUGAGGCAGCCAUAAGACAGAGUCCAUCGUCUGUGUACCUGGUGGAAAAAGUGCUGGUUGUGACACAAAA
Molecule: non-coding RNA, 1440 nt
Organism: Oryzias latipes (Japanese medaka)
Lineage: Eukaryota; Metazoa; Chordata; Actinopteri; Beloniformes; Adrianichthyidae
Source: RefSeq, a predicted model, not a curated record